Molecule: ribosomal RNA, 253 nt
Filed under: uncultured bacterium
Lineage: Bacteria
Description: partial 16S ribosomal RNA
Rfam family: Bacterial small subunit ribosomal RNA
Source: RNAcentral
GACGUAGGGUGCGAGCGUUGUCCGGAUUUAUUGGGCGUAAAGAGCUCGUAGGCGGCUCGUCGCGUCGACCGUGAAAACCCGCGGCUUAACCGCGGGCUUGCGGUUGAUACGGGCGGGCUAGAGUUCGGGAGAGGGAUGCGGAAUUCCAGGUGUAGCGGUGAAAUGCGUAGAUAUCUGGAGGAACACCGGUGGCGAAGGCGGCAUCCUGGACCGACACUGACACUGAGGAGCGAAAGCCAGGGGAGCAAACGGG